RNAcentral lists this transfer RNA (40 nucleotides) under Ctenophorus dualis. RNAcentral describes it as "Ctenophorus maculatus dualis partial tRNA-Ala". The record is from RNAcentral. Lineage: Eukaryota; Metazoa; Chordata; Lepidosauria; Squamata; Agamidae.
UAAAACCUAUAGAACUUCUCUACAUCUCCUGAAUGCAACU